AGAGUUUGAUCCUGGCUCAGGAUAAACGCUGGCGGCGCACAUAAGACAUGCAAGUCGAACGGACCAAAUUAAUUUGUUUACAAAAUAAAGAGGUUAGUGGCGGACUGGUGAGUAAUAUGUAAGCAAUCUGCCUAUUAGAGGGGAAUAACAGUGAGAAAUCAUUGCUAAUACCGCAUAUGCCAUAUAAACCACAUGGUUUAAGUGGGAAAGGAGCAAUCCGCUAAUAGAUGAGCUUACACCUGAUUAGUUAGUUGGUGGGGUAAUGGCCUACCAAGACGACGAUCAGUAGCCAAACUGUGAGGUUGAACGGCCACAUUGGGACUGAGAUACGGCCCAGACUCCUACGGGAGGCAGCGGUCGGGAAUUUUGCGCAAUGGAGGAAACUCUGACGCAGUGACGCCGCGUAUAGGAAGAAGGUUUUCGGAUUGUAAACUAUUGUCGAUGAGGAAGAAACAAGACAGUACUCAUCAAGAAAGCUCCGGCUAACUACGUGCCAGCAGCCGCGGUAAUACGUAGGGAGCAAGCGUUUUCCGGAAUUAUUGGGUGUAAAGGGUGCGUAGACGGGAAUGCAAGUCAGCUGUGAAAUCCCUCGGCUUAACUGAGGAACUGCAACUGAAACUACAAUUCUUGAGUGCAGGAGAGGAAAGUGGAAUUCUUAGUGUAGCGGUGAAAUGCGUAGAUAUUAGGAGGAACACCAGUGGCGAAGGCGACUUUCUGGACUGUAACUGACGUUGAGGCACGAAAGUGUGGGGAGCAAACAGGAUUAGAUACCCUGGUAGUCCACACUGUAAACGAUGGAU
RNAcentral lists this ribosomal RNA (800 nucleotides) under uncultured bacterium. RNAcentral describes it as "bacterial SSU rRNA". It matches the Rfam family "Bacterial small subunit ribosomal RNA", at positions 8 to 814 of the family's 1533-position model. The record is from RNAcentral.